This 2838-nucleotide long non-coding RNA is filed under the name Homo sapiens (human). RNAcentral describes it as "HSALNT0066854". Lineage: Eukaryota; Metazoa; Chordata; Mammalia; Primates; Hominidae. The record is from RNAcentral.
GGUAACGCGUAAUGUAGUGACUCAUGGGAGAAAUAUUAGGUCUCGGUCCUAUCUCGGUCCUAGCUUUGAAAGGACAAUGUGUUUUUGAUGCAUAAGAGGAAGUUUAGGAAGCAGCCCAGGAGGUCUGUUUUCCCGAAGGUUGGGCUGAUUGCCUUGGAAAGAAAUCAAACUCAGAAACAGACAAGCCAAGCCCACCGUAUUCUUGGAGACACCUUCAGGUUGUGAGUGAGGAAUGGAUGCCAUUGUUAGUGGCUUCCGUUGUGCUCAGUGGAAACACGCAUCUACAGGUAGAAUGUAGAGGAACAGCCCAAUUCAGCUGUCUUGUGGAUUUCAGGCUGUGGUCUCUCUGCCUCUCUCUGGAACACAGGAGGAACUUUGCUACUGCCUUGACCAACAGAAUAUGGGGGAAGCGACAUUGUGUGAAUUACAAGGUACAUCUUCCAUAAAGACCGCGCCCUGAGCUCACCAUUCCUCUUUCUGAGAGAGCUGAGGCAGUUCUUCCUUCAGGGGAGCAACCAUUGUUCUAGGCUCAAAGCAAGUCUGAGAGAGACGCACACGUGUGGGAUUCUAGGACCUUGACCCUCCACCGCAAACAGAGGCACUCACCUCUGCAUUCUGGGAAACGGCAGUCUGUGUGUCAGCCAGAUAAACACUUAAGUUCAGGGGCAUCUGACAAACAGCUGUCCCCACCGACCUUGUUUUGUUGGUCCCAUUUUCACAACUGUUGAUGUGGCUUCCUGAGUUCCUGACCACUUGAAUAAACAACCAAGAGCAGCAGCCUCGACUCCCUGCAGGACCCUGCGCAGGCCGCGCUGGGCAGCUGUCCAUCAGCACCCCUGUGCACACAGAGAGCAGGCAGCAGACCAGCGCCCUGGACGGCUGGUACCGACGCCCUCCAUCUGUCCGUCUGUCCCCAGGGCUGGGUGGACAGGGAAAUCUCUUUACAGUGCAGACAGCGGAGCCUGGUGUUGAGACCAACUGACCUGAUCUUGAAAGGACUGCAUUCUCCUGCCACUGUCUGGCAGAUUCCAGCUUGGGGCCUGUUUUCUGGAGCUAGCUGUCACAUGAACCCCAGCCUGCUGGCUGGGAGAUCCAGCCAGGUCAGUUUUAUGGCCAAGAGAGCAACCAGUUACUAUCUCGAGCUGGAGAAAAUGGAUUAUCUUUAGUCCUUCUGUGCAAAACUAAAACCAAAAUGUUUCUGUUUUUGGUUUGGGAGUGAUGCAUCUGGGCAGAGGGGUGAGGUGUUAGACUCAGUCCAUGCCCCUCAUUUUGCAAGGCUGAAACUGAGGCCAAAGGGACUUGCUCAGGGUCACAGAGUUGCAGAAAAGCCCCCAGUCAAACUCAGCGGUCCUGAACCCCAGGCUGUCCUUUCAAUUCCCCAGCCUUUGUUCCAGGUUUCAUCCCCCACAGGGCUGCUUGUCCUCAUCAGUGCACAGUAAUCUGAGGCUCUGCAGGAGGGGGCCGCCUUCUCUUUCAUGCUGUGCUGUUGAGCGUAGACCGCAAAACGUGGAAUACCUUGCCCAGGGUUUCUGUCCAGCUUUGCUGUGUAUUUCAAUCUUUUGAGCUUCAGUUUCCAACUCUGGGGAGAAGGGCUAACAAGAGUUAUGAUAUAUGCAUCAGGAGCUUUAAAACAGUCAUAGCCUUUAACCCAGCGAUUGGACUUCUGGGAAAUUAUCCUGUAAAAGUGAAUGAAAAAGCUUUAUGCUCACAAUGUUCAUUGUGCACAUAAGAAAAAUGAAUCUCCAAAACAGUUUCAAACUCACAAACAGAGCAUGAUCCCAGCUGAGUUAAAAAAAAAAAAAAAAAAGGGAAGGAGGCCAGGCGCGGUGGCUCACGCCUGUCAUCCCAGUACUUAGGGAGGCUGAGGUGGGUGAGGUCAGGAGUUUGAGACCAGCCUGGCCAACACGGUGAAACCUCGUCUCUACUAAAAAUACAAAAAUUAGCCGGGCGUAGGGGCGGAUGCCUGUGAUCGCAGCUACUCAGGAGGCUGAGGCAGGAGAAUUGCUUGAACGGGGAGGCGGAGGUUGCAGUGAGCUGAGAUUGCGCCAUUGCACUCCAGCCUGGGCUAUAAGAGCAAGACUCUGUCUCAAAUUAAAAAGAAAAAAAAGAAAAAAGAAGGAAGUAAAUAAACAAUACCCAGGGUUGCUCAGGUGAUGGGUUUAUAAAUAAUAGUUUCUUUAUUCUUUUACUGUUUCAAAAUGUUUUACCGUGUAUCUACCAUCAUGCCUCACUUAACAAUGGGAAUAUGUUCUGAGAAAUGCAUGGUUAGGCAGUUUUAUUGUUGUGUGAACAUUGUAGAGUGUACGCAAACUUAGAUGGCGUAGCCUAUUACACGCCUAGGCUCUAUGGUGUAGCUUAUGGCUCUUAGUGUACAAACCUGUACAGCAUGUUACUGUACUGAAUGUGGUAGGCAACUGUAGCACAAUGGUAAGCAUUUGUGUCUCUAAAUAUAGAAAAGGUACAGUAAAAAUACAGUGUAAAAGAAAAUAAAAUGUAUACCUUGGCAAGGUAUAGAUUUUAAAAUGUGUACAUAGUAAGUGCCCUGAACCUAUAUACCUGUACAGCGCAUUUACCAUGAAUGGAGCUUGCAGGAUGGGAAGUUGCUCUGGGCAAGUCAGUGAGUGAGUGAGUGCGGAGUGGAUGAGAAGGCCUGGGAGUUGCUGUACAUGACUGUAGACUUUAUAAACACAAGACACUUUGGGUACACUACAUUUACUCAGAAAUUUUAUUUCUUCAAAAUAAAUUAACCUUAGCUUACUGUAACUUUUUUACUUCAUACAUUUUUAACUUUUUAAACUUUUUGACUCUUUUGUAUUAUAAUAACACUGAGCUUAAAAC